This 549-nucleotide ribosomal RNA is filed under the name uncultured Glomeromycotina. Its description in RNAcentral is "SSU rRNA". It matches the Rfam family "Eukaryotic small subunit ribosomal RNA", at positions 548 to 1098 of the family's 1831-position model. Lineage: Eukaryota; Fungi; Glomeromycota. The record is from RNAcentral.
UUGGAGGGCAAGUCUGGUGCCAGCAGCCGCGGUAAUUCCAGCUCCAAUAGCGUAUAUUAAAGUUGUUGCAGUUAAAAAGCUCGUAGUUGAAUUUCGGGGUCAGUAGGUCGGUCGUGCCACUGGUAUGAACUGGUUUUACUGAUUCCUCCCUCUUGAAGAACUGUAAUGCCAUUAAUUUGGUGUUGCAGGGAAUCAGGACUGUUACUUUGAAAAAAUUAGAGUGUUUAAAGCAGGCUUUAGCUUGAAUACAUUAGCAUGGAGUAAUGAAAUAGGACGUUUGAUCCUAUUUUGUUGGUUUCUAGGAUUGACGUAAUGAUUAAUAGGGAUAGUUGGGGGCAUUAGUAUUCAAUUGUCAGAGGUGAAAUUCUUGGAUUUAUUGAAGACUAACUACUGCGAAAGCAUUUGCCAAGGAUGUUUUCACUAAUCAAGAACGAAAGUUAGGGGAUCGAAGACGAUCAGAUACCGUCGUAGUCUUAACCAUAAACUAUGCCGACUAGGGAUCGGAUGAUGUUAAUUUUUUAAUGACUCAUUCGGCGCCUUACGGGAAAC